This 73-nucleotide transfer RNA is filed under the name Megalamphodus megalopterus (black phantom tetra). RNAcentral describes it as "Hyphessobrycon megalopterus (black phantom tetra) tRNA-Met". It matches the Rfam family "tRNA". From Rfam's summary of the family: Transfer RNA (tRNA) molecules are approximately 80 nucleotides in length. Their secondary structure includes four short double-helical elements and three loops (D, anti-codon, and T loops). Further hydrogen bonds mediate the characteristic L-shaped molecular structure. tRNAs have two regions of fundamental functional importance: the anti-codon, which is responsible for specific mRNA codon recognition, and the 3' end, to which the tRNAs corresponding amino acid is attached (by aminoacyl-tRNA synthetases). tRNAs cope with the degeneracy of the genetic code in two manners: having more than one tRNA (with a specific anti-codon) for a particular amino acid; and 'wobble' base-pairing, i.e. permitting non-standard base-pairing at the 3rd anti-codon position. The record is from RNAcentral. Lineage: Eukaryota; Metazoa; Chordata; Actinopteri; Characiformes; Acestrorhamphidae.
UAGGAAGAUAAGCUAAACCCAAGCUAUUGGGCCCAUACCCCAAAAAUGAAGGUUAAAUUCCCUCUCUUCCUAU